UUGAACGCUGGCGGCAUGCCUAACACAUGCAAGUCGAACGGUAACGCGGGGGCAACCCUGGCGACGAGUGGCGGACGGGUGAGUAAUACGUAGGAAUCUGCCCAUUUGUGGGGGAUAACCCGGCGAAAGCCGGGCUAAUACCGCAUACGCUCUACGGAGGAAAGCGGGGGAUCGUAAGACCUCGCGCUAAUGGAUGAGCCUACGUCGGAUUAGCUAGUUGGUAGGGUAACGGCCUACCAAGGCGACGAUCCGUAGCUGGUCUGAGAGGACGAUCAGCCACACUGGGACUGAGACACGGCCCAGACUCCUACGGGAGGCAGCAGUGGGGAAUAUUGGACAAUGGGGGCAACCCUGAUCCAGCAAUGCCGCGUGUGUGAAGAAGGCCUGCGGGUUGUAAAGCACUUUCAGUGGGGAGAAAAAUCGGAGCUAACACCUCCGAUCUUGACG
Molecule: ribosomal RNA, 447 nt
Filed under: uncultured bacterium
Lineage: Bacteria
Description: bacterial SSU rRNA
Rfam family: Bacterial small subunit ribosomal RNA
Source: RNAcentral